GCUAUUUUGGCAGAAUCAGUGCAUUAAACUUAGAAUUUAAAUAUAGGGUUACACCUAAAUAGUA
RNAcentral lists this transfer RNA (64 nucleotides) under Baetis sp. PC-2010. RNAcentral describes it as "tRNA-Leu". The record is from RNAcentral. Lineage: Eukaryota; Metazoa; Arthropoda; Insecta; Ephemeroptera; Baetidae.